AGCAUUAGUAUAAAUUUGAAAAAUCACCAAAAAUGGUGUAAAUUGAAUUAAAGACUGGGUGAGAUAUGAAAUUAAAGCUUAAUGAGUCUAUUUUUUCAUAAAAGAAAUAGAGUAAGCAAAAGAAGUGUGAAUUAUGAGAUAUUUGAAUUUUAGUGAGAUAGGGUCAGAAUGAGUUUCGGAAUCUCUUGUUCCAACUUUGAAAAAUCAUUAAAAAUUAUAAAAAAAUAAUUAUG
RNAcentral lists this long non-coding RNA (233 nucleotides) under Gossypium barbadense (sea-island cotton). Its description in RNAcentral is "long non-coding RNA (GBAR_LNC016823)". Lineage: Eukaryota; Viridiplantae; Streptophyta; Magnoliopsida; Malvales; Malvaceae. The record is from RNAcentral.